Non-coding RNA from Euleptes europaea (tarantolino), 73 nucleotides. The record is from the annotation of a RefSeq genome assembly. NCBI's taxonomy places the organism in Eukaryota, Metazoa, Chordata, Lepidosauria, Squamata, Sphaerodactylidae.
GGGGGCUGUGGCUCAGUGGUAAAGCAUCUGCUUAGGGUGCAGAAGGACCCAGGUUCAAUCCCUGGCAUCUCCA